This 331-nucleotide long non-coding RNA is filed under the name Gorilla gorilla gorilla (western lowland gorilla). Its description in RNAcentral is "lncRNA (ENSGGOG00000044508.1)". Lineage: Eukaryota; Metazoa; Chordata; Mammalia; Primates; Hominidae. The record is from RNAcentral.
GUUAAGCAGGAGCUGGUAGGAAUGAAUGGAGGAACACUACCAAAUCAUCUAACAACAGCAGCACAUCUCACUGGCAGAAAUUCAGAUGUGGAAUUAUGCUUCAAAUGCUACUAAUGGACUAUGCAAAGGAGUGUGAGAUGGAAGAUGAUGUCGCAAGGGUGGCCGAGAAGCAGCUGGGCUGAGCUGUUAAAAGCACAGAGACCGGGGCCAGACUCCUCAGCCUGAAAUCCUGCUUCCACUAAGUACCAGCUGGGUAACUUCAGGGUCUGUCAAUUCAAGCUUUACAUUCCAAGUUCACUACAAGAAAAACAAAUGUACUAAAAGACAAAAA